CCAACGGUUCCAUUUGGAACCAACCACAGUUACAGGAGAACACAC
This is a non-coding RNA of Nomascus leucogenys (northern white-cheeked gibbon), 45 nucleotides long. The record is from Rfam. NCBI's taxonomy places the organism in Eukaryota, Metazoa, Chordata, Mammalia, Primates, Hylobatidae.